Long non-coding RNA from Monodelphis domestica (gray short-tailed opossum), 2712 nucleotides. RefSeq lists it as uncharacterized. The record is from RefSeq and is a predicted model, not a curated record. NCBI's taxonomy places the organism in Eukaryota, Metazoa, Chordata, Mammalia, Didelphimorphia, Didelphidae.
GCUAGUAUAAAAGUAUUGAAUACCACAUUUAGAAAACAGGGUUCAAUCCUUUGUUAUUACUGUACAGUAAUUUCAGACAUGUUGAACUCUUUGUGAUCCUGCUUGGGAUUGUCUUGGCAGAGACACUGGAAUGGUUUCCCAUUUCCUUCUCCAGUUCAUUUUAUAGAUGAGAAAACUAAGGCAAACAGGGUUAAAUGACUUGCCUAGGGUCCCACAGCUAGUAAGUACCUGAGACUGUAUUUUAACUCAAGUCCUCUUGAUUCCAAGCCCAACACUCAUCCCCUGUGUCACCAAGCUGCUCUAUCUAAUUCUUACUGGGCCAUUUAAUAAUUGUGUAACUUGUAAAAAUUAUCUUACUUGGCUGAGCUUUGGCUUUCUUAUCUAUGAAGUGAUGAGGUUGGAUAUGAUAUUCUUUAGGAUCCCUUCCAUCUUGAAAGUUUUAUUAUUUUUUAUUAUUCCCAUUGAGUAUAAAGAGCUAUUUGUAGGCAGAGGUGGUUUUGUUUUCCUUUGUAUCUCUAGCACUUCACACAGAGCCAGGCACAUAGUGGGAACUAAAUAAAUGCUUGUUGAAUUUGAUUGAAUUCUAUAGAGGACCCUUCAUGGUUUACAAAGAGCUGUUCUCUUAAGGAACCUGUAAAAGAGGCUAUUCAAGACUUAUCUCCAUUUUACAGACAAGAAGACUAGGGCUCAUCGAGGGCAAAUGACUUUCUCCAGGUCUUGCAACUCAUACAUGGUCGAGACCUGAUUUGAAUCCCAGCAUUCUGAUUCAGAAUCCAAAGCUCUAUUAUUACCCUGUAUUGGAGAACUGCUGAAAGAUGGAAAGAAGUUGGCAAAAGAUGGCUUUGGAGUGGGGAGAUUAUUGGAUCAGUGGUUUUAUACUACAGCGGCAGAAGCUCAUAUCUGGAAUUUCAUCACCAUUCAGUAGAUGUUUCUAAUUUUAAAAAUUCCUCCCACCCUUUCAUGAGAAAAGUAUGAUUCUAUGGUAUUAUAAAAAAAGAAUUACUUUACAGUGGCAACAGUAUUGGAAUUGCCAUCAAAAAACUUAGCUUUGAGUUUCUGUCGCUCACUGGAGGCUAAGAUUCCUCACUUUGAACAUAGAAAUAAAAAUUCUUGCCUUAUCCCUUUCAUAGGACUAUUCUGGAGAUCAAGUUAGAUUAAGAGACCACAAUGUGCAAGAAACUUUGUGAGAUGUCCAAUUAUAUAAGACAUGGUUGCUGCUCUCCCAGAAUGCCACAAAUGAGAAUGGUCAUCCAUCAGGUCUUCCACUAGUUACUGAGUACUGUGCCUGAGGACCAAAUGUUUGCCACUCUGCUCCAGAUAUCCCUCUAAUUUUUUAAGUUUCAGAGAAGAUGGCAGCCUGCAUUGAUGGAAGGAGUUUUCUCACCUGGGAGUUUCCUAUCCCAAUAAAUUCACAUAUCUAGUUCUAAUCCUUAUCCCUAUGUAUUAUACAUGUAUAACUUAAAUGAUAUGUGUCUAUAUCAAAGUAAAAUUGUAUGUCAUAAAUGUGUAUGUUUCCUAAGUACAUAUUGACAGAGACCCCUUUUAUCCCAGAAGUCCAAAGAAAAUGUCCAAACCACUCCCAUAUCCAGAGAUCUUUAGGAUAUACAAAGCAAUUUUCUCACAAUAAUUCUAGGAGGUGUGUUACCUGACUCACCCAAGGACACAGAAGAUAACGAUUGAAAUAGUUUCCUGCUUCGAAGUUCCCUGAUUUUUCUACCCCUAUGCUUUUGUGCCUCUCAAAACAAAGUGCUUUUAGAUCCUUGAAGAGGGGCGUCUUUUCAAGAUGAAAAUAUCAUUCAGUGAAUAAUCUCAUAAGAUGGGAGCAGAGAAUAUAGGGAGUCAGCAUGAAGUAAGGCUGGAAGUGUAGAUUUUGAAUUUCUUGAUGAGACACUUUAAAAAAAUCUACUAUUUGAUUUCUCCUCCCCACAGACUCUAGAAUCUUUCUUUUAUAAAUCUUAUGACUGGCCAAUCACGAAGACUUGUGAAUCUCAGUCUUAAAGGGUACUAACCACCUAUUAGCUUCAUGCCAAAAAAAACUUACUGAUUUGCAGAACUGAGUAGAUGCUUCUAAAGCACUUUGAAGCUGAAGAACCCUAAGGGAGGAAUGAAGAUCCAGGAAAAUGUGAGCUGGGGGGCAGGCACACUGACAUCCCUUAGCUGUGCCAAGACGUCACUUUUCUGACUAGACUCAAGGUUAGCCCUUGAGGUUCAGAUGUCUCUUAGAAGGACAAGUUCAUUUCAAAUUCUUCUUCAGAGUUUAGAUAUACUUGAAAUAAAAUAUGGCAAACAAAACUGAUUAAACUAGGGCCUCAUGGUGGAUCAAUGCUCCCCCAAAAGACCCCUAAAAUUGCCACUUAGAGACAAAAUAGGAAAAAAAAAUGUUUGACAUAGUUGUGAAGAAAUCUGGGUUAGAGUUCCAAUUCUCUCCCUGACCAACCUGAGCAAGUCAUAAUAUCUUUGGAUUUUGGUUCCCUAAUUACUCAAUCAACUAGCAUUUUUAAGUGUUUACCAUGUGUCAGGUACUUUGCUAAGUGUUAGGGAUUAAAAGUAAAAGAGAAAAUAGCAUCUGUCUUUAAGUGGUUUAUAUUCUAGUGGUAGAAUAUAUACAUAUAUUGGUAAUAAUAAGAGAAAUGUAGAAUUCUAGGUUUCUAAUUUCUUUGGAUCAAGAACAAGCUAAGCACGGUCCAGACCCUAAGGUCACAGAAGAGUUCA